AUUGAACGCUGGCGGCAGGCCUAACACAUGCAAGUCGAGCGGAUGAAGGGAGCUUGCUCCUGGAUUCAGCGGCGGACGGGUGAGUAAUGCCUAGGAAUCUGCCUGGUAGUGGGAGAUAAUGUCCGGAAACGGGCGCUAAUACCGCAUACGUCCUGAGGGAGAAAGUGGGGGAUCUUCGGACCUCACGCUAUCAGAUGAGCCUAGGUCGGAUUAGCUAGUUGGUGGGGUAAAGGCCUACCAAGGCGGCGAUCCGUAACUGGUCUGAGAGGAUGAUCAGUCACACUGGAACUGAGACACGGUCCAGACUCCUACGGGAGGCAGCAGUGGGGAAUAUUGGACAAUGGGCGAAAGCCUGAUCCAGCCAUGCCGCGUGUGUGAAGAAGGUCUUCGGAUUGUAAAGCACUUUAAGUUGGGAGGAAGGGCAGUAAGUUAAUACCUUGCUGUUUUGACGUUACCAACAGAAUAAGCACCGGCUAACUUCGUG
This 484-nucleotide ribosomal RNA is filed under the name uncultured bacterium. RNAcentral's name for it is "partial 16S ribosomal RNA". It matches the Rfam family "Bacterial small subunit ribosomal RNA", at positions 30 to 507 of the family's 1533-position model. The record is from RNAcentral.